RNAcentral lists this ribosomal RNA (668 nucleotides) under uncultured bacterium. RNAcentral describes it as "bacterial SSU rRNA". It matches the Rfam family "Bacterial small subunit ribosomal RNA", at positions 32 to 687 of the family's 1533-position model. The record is from RNAcentral.
AACGCUAGCUACAGGCUUAACACAUGCAAGUCGAGGGGAAACGAUAUUGGAAGCUUGCUUCCGAUAGGCGUCGACCGGCGCACGGGUGAGUAACGCGUAUCCAACCUGCCCACCACUUGGGGAUAACCUUGCGAAAGUAAGACUAAUACCCAAUGAUAUCUCUAGAAGACAUCUGAAAGGGAUUAAAGAUUCAUCGGUGAUGGAUGGGGAUGCGUCUGAUUAGCUUGUUGGCGGGGUAACGGCCCACCAAGGCGACGAUCAGUAGGGGUUCUGAGAGGAAGGUCCCCCACAUUGGAACUGAGACACGGUCCAAACUCCUACGGGAGGCAGCAGUGAGGAAUAUUGGUCAAUGGACGAGAGUCUGAACCAGCCAAGUAGCGUGCAGGACGACGGCCCUAUGGGUUGUAAACUGCUUUUAUAAGGGAAUAAAGUGAGUCUCGUGAGACUUUUUGCAUGUACCUUAUGAAUAAGGACCGGCUAAUUCCGUGCCAGCAGCCGCGGUAAUACGGAAGGUCCGGGCGUUAUCCGGAUUUAUUGGGUUUAAAGGGAGCGUAGGCCGGAGAUUAAGCGUGUUGUGAAAUGUAGAUGCUCAACAUCUGCACUGCAGCGCGAACUGGUUUCCUUGAGUACGCACAAAGUGGGCGGAAUUCGUGGUGUAGCGGUGAAAU